UAAGGGUUAAAGCCCCUUCAAUUCCU
RNAcentral lists this transfer RNA (26 nucleotides) under Laimosemion geayi. Its description in RNAcentral is "partial tRNA-Ile". The record is from RNAcentral. Lineage: Eukaryota; Metazoa; Chordata; Actinopteri; Cyprinodontiformes; Rivulidae.